This 1461-nucleotide ribosomal RNA is filed under the name Salmonella enterica subsp. enterica serovar Schwarzengrund. RNAcentral's name for it is "bacterial SSU rRNA". It matches the Rfam family "Bacterial small subunit ribosomal RNA". Lineage: Bacteria; Pseudomonadati; Pseudomonadota; Gammaproteobacteria; Enterobacterales; Enterobacteriaceae. The record is from RNAcentral.
GGGUGACGAGUGGCGGACGGGUGAGUAAUGUCUGGGAAACUGCCUGAUGGAGGGGGAUAACUACUGGAAACGGUGGCUAAUACCGCAUAACGUCGCAAGACCAAAGAGGGGGACCUUCGGGCCUCUUGCCAUCAGAUGUGCCCAGAUGGGAUUAGCUUGUUGGUGAGGUAACGGCUCACCAAGGCGACGAUCCCUAGCUGGUCUGAGAGGAUGACCAGCCACACUGGAACUGAGACACGGUCCAGACUCCUACGGGAGGCAGCAGUGGGGAAUAUUGCACAAUGGGCGCAAGCCUGAUGCAGCCAUGCCGCGUGUAUGAAGAAGGCCUUCGGGUUGUAAAGUACUUUCAGCGGGGAGGAAGGUGUUGUGGUUAAUAACCGCAGCAAUUGACGUUACCCGCAGAAGAAGCACCGGCUAACUCCGUGCCAGCAGCCGCGGUAAUACGGAGGGUGCAAGCGUUAAUCGGAAUUACUGGGCGUAAAGCGCACGCAGGCGGUCUGUCAAGUCGGAUGUGAAAUCCCCGGGCUCAACCUGGGAACUGCAUUCGAAACUGGCAGGCUUGAGUCUUGUAGAGGGGGGUAGAAUUCCAGGUGUAGCGGUGAAAUGCGUAGAGAUCUGGAGGAAUACCGGUGGCGAAGGCGGCCCCCUGGACAAAGACUGACGCUCAGGUGCGAAAGCGUGGGGAGCAAACAGGAUUAGAUACCCUGGUAGUCCACGCCGUAAACGAUGUCUACUUGGAGGUUGUGCCCUUGAGGCGUGGCUUCCGGAGCUAACGCGUUAAGUAGACCGCCUGGGGAGUACGGCCGCAAGGUUAAAACUCAAAUGAAUUGACGGGGGCCCGCACAAGCGGUGGAGCAUGUGGUUUAAUUCGAUGCAACGCGAAGAACCUUACCUGGUCUUGACAUCCACGGAAGUUUUCAGAGAUGGAUUGUGCCUUCGGGAACCGUGAGACAGGUGCUGCAUGGCUGUCGUCAGCUCGUGUUGUGAAAUGUUGGGUUAAGUCCCGCAACGAGCGCAACCCUUAUCCUUUGUUGCCAGCGGUCCGGCCGGGAACUCAAAGGAGACUGCCAGUGAUAAACUGGAGGAAGGUGGGGAUGACGUCAAGUCAUCAUGGCCCUUACGACCAGGGCUACACACGUGCUACAAUGGCGCAUACAAAGAGAAGCGACCUCGCGAGAGCAAGCGGACCUCAUAAAGUGCGUCGUAGUCCGGAUUGGAGUCUGCAACUCGACUCCAUGAAGUCGGAAUCGCUAGUAAUCGUGGAUCAGAAUGCCACGGUGAAUACGUUCCCGGGCCUUGUACACACCGCCCGUCACACCAUGGGAGUGGGUUGCAAAAGAAGUAGGUAGCUUAACCUUCGGGAGGGCGCUUACCACUUUGUGAUUCAUGACUGGGGUGAAGUCGUAACAAGGUAACCGUAGGGGAACCUGCGGUUGGAUCACCUCCUUACCUUAAAGAAGC